Molecule: long non-coding RNA, 5959 nt
Filed under: Homo sapiens (human)
Lineage: Eukaryota; Metazoa; Chordata; Mammalia; Primates; Hominidae
Description: HSALNT0336062
Source: RNAcentral
CUUGUAAAAGAAAGAGAGAGAGAGAGAGAGACCGAGAGAGAAAGAAAGAAAGAAAAGAAACUCCUUCCGUAGGAGCUAGAAUUACACCUUUUUUUCUAUAAGACUUUUCGCUAUUUGUAUUUCUUCUGGACCUAAUCAUCAUGUUCUCCGCACAAAACAUUUGAGUGGUUGGCCUUCUAUGGCCAACCAUAACCAUUUUACAGGCAGUUUUACACAGUUGUGGGUAUUACCCUUUAUCUGUUGUUCUGCUGCUUGAUCUUUGCAACACAGAACUGUUAGAUUUCUGUGUAAUCACAUCUGUCACAUUUUCCUUUAAGUCUUCCUGUCGUGUUUGGGAAGAGCUUUUCUACUUCCCAUCCUGGUUUUAUUCUUAUUUUAUUAGAAUUGGGCUAUACAUAUUAGUUUGUAAGUUGCUUCAAAUUCUUUUUGAAAGAAGCAAGGGAUACAUAGAUCCUAUAAAUAAAUAAAAAUGCUUGUGAGACAUGAGAAAUCAUUUUUAUUUAUUCAUAACCAUCACAUUUCUUGAAAAAUAUAAUUCUUGCUGUGCUGUAUAUAUUUUCAAGUGAUGCUGGAAGGAGUAUUACAUUAUAACCUUAAAGGAUUAUGAACACCAAAGGGAAAGGUGCUGUUUAAACACAUUGCUAAUAAUAUGUUUACACAUUUUGAAACUGCUCAAAUUACAUUCACGUGGAUCAGCAGCAUGACUUGUAUGACUUGUGUUGGCUUCCUCUGAGAAGGACGGAGAGUGAGAGGAGUUCAGAUUAUUAUUGCCUGAGAAGUUGGUUAGGCAAGGAAGUCAUUUACCUUGCUGUGGACAGAAUAAAGAACUCACCAUCCAGCAAUUUAUAGUUGAUCACAGUUGUGUUGCCUAGUGGUGGGGUGCAAAAGGAUGCAACGUAUUUGGUUAAAAGACAAGCACAAAUAUCAGAGUAUUUAGUAAGAUCCAAAAUUUAAGUUGAUUUAGCAUUCACAACAAAAAUGAAGUCAUUUGGAAAAAACAAAAAUGAACAAAGAAAUAAAAAUGGAGAUUUAGUCCACAUGUCGUGGGUUGAUGUUUCCUUGAAAAGAGUGGUCAGAAUUUUUGAGCCUAAAGCAACCACGUAUUAAAGUAAUUUAACUAAUGUAGACAUGUUAUCCGCUUACCACAAAGAAAAUAAAUUAUAGCGGGCUCUAGACUGAUGGCUAAAAAGCCAAUUCUCCUAAAAUGGAAGGAUAUUGAUGGUGCUCACAUUAUGUAAUCGGUACAGUAUGUCAGUCCUAGUGGUCUGGCUAACCAAGGAAGGCUCUGGUUUCAAAUGAAAGCACAUUUAGUAAAAUUCGGUAUAAUUUUUUCCUAGAACUACUUUGCUCAAUUAUGGCAAGAUAGAUUCUACUAAUCACAGGCUGCAGAGACUUGGAGAUUGAGCAUGGUUUUUUGGAUUGAAAUACUUUUUAUUUUGUGUUUGGUCUUCUGCAGUGCCUUAGGGGAGAUGUGUCAGAGAGACUAACGUGGUUUCUUUCUUCUUUUAUUUAAGAAUUUAAGUGAUCAUGGAACUGGAACAAACUUCAGUGCCCAUUUAGUCAAUUGCCUUCAUUUUAUAGAAGAGGAAAUUGAAGAAUAAAGGUUGUGAUUUUCCUAAGGUCAUGUAAUGAGUUCAUGACAAAGCCUGGAUUAUACUUAGGUCUUCUGAUAACCAGACCAGUUUUCUUUCCUUUGUAGAAAAAUGCAUGCUCCAGAAGUCCAGGCUGACCCAAUACCGGAGUAGACUUUGAGUCUUUGCUUCAGAUGCAGAUCAAGAUGUGGCAACCUGUUGUGGAGAACUGGGUCCCUUGAGCCUGUGCUGUCUCUUUUUUUCUGGUGGCUUUGUCAUUUGGAACAAUGCAUAAUGGGCUGGAGGCUGAGAAACUCUGAGCUGAGGUCCAGGCCAGUUUCCUUUCAUCCUCCCAAAGCUAUUAACACGAUAGUGUGAAUUUGAUGCUGUUGAAGGCAGGCCUGUAGUGAACAUGUGGCAUUUCUUUGGCUACUCAACAUCCAUUCCUCCUUCCUGAUGGCAUCUCAUUUCUUUUGGGGAAUUACUUAUUCCCAUGGAUGCAGCCUUAAUGGGGUAUAAAUCCAGGCACCUGCUCCCCACCAUGGAAGAUUGUGAAGUGGCCAGAUUCUGCUUCCUCCAGCCCUGAGGGUGGGCAUGCGGCCUAAGCUCAACCAAAUCUGAUAAACACUUCUGGAUCUUUGAACCUCGAACAGGUGACACAAGGAUGACAGGAACAGUUAUCAGGGAAGCACACUGAUCGACUGAGCUGCCUGCUCCUGGCCUUCUGGAUCCUCCUCAGUUCCUGCUUAUCUCUAGGCCAGGCUCUCAACUCUGUCAAUUCUGGCAAGUAGAGCUGCAGCUGUCUGGCGCCACUGUAAUGCUGUCUCCUCCUCUGAGUGAGUUCAUCCUGGAAACAUUUUCUCCCAUAAGACAUGCACAGGUCUUACGUUUACAUGUUUCACUGAAAGAAAUUUGAUUCCACUGCUGGGAUGACAAGGAAGACUGAAGAAACCUAAUCCUAGGUGCUGCCACUGGGACAAACAAGAAGCACCAGACACAGUGCUGUUUUAGGGUGGGGCAGAAUUAUGCUGAGGGAAAAGUUAUUAUCACUCUUUAAGGCCAAGGAAACCACAAUUUUUAAAGAAGCUUCUAGAAAUUCUACCCAGUAGAAAAUAAAGAUAAACUUCUGUAAGGAAUUUCAUUCUUUUCAGAAUUCGCAAUCUGAAAUGUAGAAGCCCAUUCCUUCAUGGUUCUCAUAGAUAUUUAGUGUGACUGAGGGGUCAGUGGACUCAUAGCACUCAGGCCAGGCUUCUCCUGAGUCCCUUUCUUUGGCACAGAGGGAGUGAUUCACAGAUCCUCUACCCCCAAAGGCAUUGUUUCCUCAUCUCAACAAGAAUCCAGCACCCGUCAUUUUAUCAGCACACGUCACUAGCUUCUCAAGUGAGACUACUCUGAAGUGAUCUGUGUUUGAAGAAUGCCUUUCCCUUUCCCUUACGUAACUAAGAGGAUGAAAAAGGACACUCACUCCCUAUAUGAAAGCUGUGUAUUGUAAGCAGUCAUCUUGCCUGGCUGAGAACUCUAGGAUCUUUUUCUCUGCUCUCCUUUAGGCUGACACUCAUAGCCAGACCUUCUGUUUAUUAGCCCCCUGAAUCUAUUUGAAAAUAUUUUUGCUUUCAUUAUAAUAUAAGUCACAUUCUUCUUGCAUCUGCCGCUGCAUUUUCCAAAAGGGUUAUGUCAAGGGAAAUUCAACACUCACUUUUCUCAUUAUUUGCUUACCAGCUUGCUCACUCAUCAAAAUACCAGAGUUAUUUGAUACUUCAGAAGAUUAUUUCCCCCUUUAGAUGAUGUGUCAAGGGAAGGGGAGCUGGCCCCAGUAUCAGGUGACAGAAUUUUCUUCGCAUUUCUACUGUUGACUCAAUAAAUGCCCUUGGGCAAGUCAUGGAGCCUCUUCAUACUUUGGUCUCUAGGGAUAAAAUCUGCCAACCGCAGCAUGUGUAUUUGAACCUCAGUGUCCUCUGGAAUAAAAAUAGGAGGGGACCAGGUGUCCAUGUGACCCCAAGCUGAUGGGAAGAGGAUGACCAUAGGACUUCAAAAUGUCCUUGAGCUGUAAAUUCUGUAAUAGGGUCAGGCCCACCAGUGGCCUUCAGGCAUUUGUCCAGUGGUGUAUGGAUAAGUUCUAGCACUUGAGUUUUUUCAGCACAAAGGAGGCACUAUGUCAACCUCCCACCCAUGGGUAUUCUGUUUGCUCUGUGUCCCCGCUUCUCUGCAUUUCCCUGCCAUAUUACUCACCACUGGUCGUAAUUACUUGCUUGAUCACUUGUCUCCUGGUCUGUAAGCUGUUUGAGGGAGGGGAGCACAUCUGCCCUAUGCAACACUGUACCCUCAGUGUGGUACACAGGAGCACAUGCCUGACAUAUGGAAGUUAUGUGAGAAACAUUUGUGAAGUGGACAAAUUAAUAAUGCUGCCUGGACUCUAUAGAAAUCCCUUUUCUGCAUCAUUAAGGUUCCCAAGCCUGGCCAAGAAGUAGUGGGAUCUGAUUAGCCUCAUCUCCUCAUAACCCUACUUCCUAUAAUAUUAUAAUGAAAGCAGAUCUCAGCCCAAAUGCUGGCACACAUACAUAUUUAUCAGUAAGAAGAUCCAAAAUCGUUCAUGCAGCUGGUUCUGUAAGCUUGGCAAAUUUCCAGCCCUCUGAACUUUUCAGUGCUUUGUCCACACUCUACAUGAAAGGGCCUCUUAAGAGUGACAGGGCAGUAUUCUAAAGACCAGAUUUUAAUUGCACCAGGUAACUGAAUUGUCUGAAUUCACAGCUGAACACAGGACAAGGUCAGAAUCAUAUUUCUUAUGCCAUUUAGAAAGGUGACAAGUGAAGGGCUGGCCAAAAUCUUACACCCAGCUUACGUAAGAGUAGAGACUGUCCCUAAUGCUUUCCCCAGUCCACUUGUCUCGAACACCAUUAGGUUCAAUAGUAAAAGCCCAUUUCUCACUUGCUUCAUGUUAAUUGACUGAUCACUAAUUUUACCAAUAAGAAGCCAUUUUUAUUAUUUAUCAUUAUGAUUUUUAUCAUUUUGUUAAUUAGCCAAGCUUCUGCUGUUGACUCCAGAUAAAGAGAGUUAAAGCACUUGGGGUGACCACCUAAGUAGAUUUUUUCAUGGUGAACAAAUGGAAGCAACAGAAACAGCUCAGACUUUUGAAAAGUGAUGAAAAAGGCCCAUGAUGCCCUGCUCCUUGAAAAUGAAGAAGAGGAUGACUUAGCCCUGCAGGGCUCUUUUCUUUGCAUGUUCUUACCAACCCUCAGGGGAGAUUCAGUCUACUAGCUGGCUUCCCCACGUGGACCUCACUCUGUGGCAAGUAACUGGGAGUAAUUUACCUUCUGGGUUCUCUUACAACCCCCUUAGCUAUGUAGGUGAUUUCAGGCCCAAGGGGGAAGAUAUCAGAUAAGCCAGAACAUUUUGAUUCUACUGACCGAGUUUCCUCACCUCCCUCCCUUUGUUUCUGAUAAAUACAUACGUUAAGGUCAGCUGAAGAGUUGUCUGUGAUAAUUGCCCUGAAUCCUCACUCACUCCUCUGAAUUUCUGUCUUCUGUAGCCUCUUAGCCAUGUUGCAGGUGAAGGUCUCAAGUCAUUUGCACCACUAGGAAUCGUUUGUGUUAUUGUGACUGAUAUAUGUCCUCAGAGUUGUAUCAGUGUUGUCCCCUACACACACAUGCACAUACAUGCACCACACAAUAUGCACGUUCUAUAAGACAGAGCCUCUAUUUUUGGUGUCUGCUUAGCCCUCCAGUUUCCCAUUGGGAUUAGUUGUUUUCUCCAAGCUUCAGACAACUUGGAGAUCCUGCCUAACUUUGGUUGCUCUUCCUUGUCAGACUGGAACUUACCCUCAGUAUGGUACAACCAAUCACUGGCUCUCAGGGAACUCAUCACCCUGAACUAUGCCUGACAGGACAGGAGCACCAUCAUCUCGGACAAACACUGCCACUUUAAGUUCCAGCUCCCUUUCUAGCCUCAGGCAUUUCAAGAAAAUCACUUGUCUUCUCAUUACAAGCAGUCAGAAAGAGCAGACAGUAAAAUACAGAUAAGACGGGCACAGAGGGAAGUGGGAGGAAAGUCUCUUGGGUAACUGCCAAACUUCACCCUCAUACAAUGGGCCCCAGUAAAACAGUGGGCCUUAAUAAGCACAUUCCUUUCCUUUCAGGUGCACUAAGAUAGGAAGGCUAAAGGCAGAUUGGGGGGAUAUGCCUGCAGCUACAGAAAGAUGUAUGGGAACAGACACACAACUCUCCCUCCCAAAUAAGCACAACAGAGAGACACAGAAGCAGUCCAAGCCUCUGAUAAACUCUCCCACCCUGAAUCUUUAAAAACUCUUAGUCUGCAAGAGAGUGUGGCUUCUGACCUAACUCGAUCAGAAGUCCCUCCCAGGUUUAAAAUAAACCUGUUAACUGUUGAGCCAC